CCGGAAACAUAGUCCGCUGCGGUCAAC
This 27-nucleotide small RNA is filed under the name Bombyx mori (domestic silkworm). Its description in RNAcentral is "ovarian small RNA-13891". Lineage: Eukaryota; Metazoa; Arthropoda; Insecta; Lepidoptera; Bombycidae. The record is from RNAcentral.